This 253-nucleotide ribosomal RNA is filed under the name uncultured bacterium. Its description in RNAcentral is "partial 16S ribosomal RNA". It matches the Rfam family "Bacterial small subunit ribosomal RNA", at positions 524 to 776 of the family's 1533-position model. The record is from RNAcentral.
GACGAAGGGGGCUAGCGUUGUUCGGAAUUACUGGGCGUAAAGCGUGUGUAGGUGGUUGUCCAAGUUGGAUGUGAAAGCCUUGAGCUCAACUCAAGAAAUGCAUUCAGGACUGGGCGACUAGAGGACCGGAGAGGAUAGUGGAAUUCCCAGUGUAGUGGUGAAAUACGUAGAGAUUGGGAAGAACACCAGUGGCGAAGGCGGCUAUCUGGACGGUUUCUGACACUAAGACACGAAAGCGUGGGGAGCAAACAGG